Molecule: non-coding RNA, 30 nt
Filed under: Rattus norvegicus (Norway rat)
Lineage: Eukaryota; Metazoa; Chordata; Mammalia; Rodentia; Muridae
Source: RNAcentral
UCUCCUCAAAAGGAACUCGAAGGCAACAGU